CGACGAACUACUUCGGUAGUGAGUGGCAAACGGGAGAGUAACACCUUGGUAACCUACCUCUAAGAUGGGCACAACGCGGAGAAAUCUGCGCUAAUUCCCAAUGUGCUGGUAAAACAUAAGUUUUAUUAGUAAAGCUCCGACGCUUAGAGAGGGGCCUAGGUUCCAUCAGCUUGUUGGUGAGGUAAAAGCUCACCAAGGCUACGACGGAUAGCGGGUGUGAGAGCAUGGCCCGUCUCACUGGGACUGAGAUACUGCCCAGACUCCUACGGGAGGCUGCAGUCAAGAAUCUUCCACAAUGCCCGAAAGGGUGAUGGAGCGACGCCGCGUGCAGGAAGACGCCCUUCGGGGUGUAAACUGCUUUUAUAUGGGACGAAUUCGUGACGGUACCAUAUGAAUAAGGGGCUGCUAAACUCGUGCCAGCAGCAGCGGUAAUACGAGUGCCCCAAGCGUUGUCCGGAAUUACUGGGUGUAAAGGGUCCACAGGCGGUUAGAUAAGUUUCCAGUUAAACCUUCAGGCUUAACCUGGAGUUCGCUGGAAAUACUAUUUAACUAGAGGCCGGUAGAGGUAAGCGGAAUGGCUGGUGUAGUAGUAAAAUGCGUUGAUAUCAGCUAGAACGCCAAAUGUGAAGACAGCUUACUGGAACGGUUCUGACGCUCAUUGGACGAAAGCGUGGGUAGCGAAAGGGAUUAGAUACCCCUGUAGUCCACGCCCUAAACGAUGAAUGCUAAUCAUUGGGAGUAUCGACCCUCUCAGUGGUGUUAACCUAAGCUAACGCGUUAAGCAUUCCACCUGGGGAGUACGGUCGCAAGACUAAAACUCAAAGGAAUUGACGGGAGCCCGCACAAGCGGUGGGGCAUGUGGUUUAAUUCGAUGAUAAGCGGGGAACCUUACCAGGGCUUGACAUCUCGAGAAUUCUCCCGAAAGGGAGAAGUGCCUUUUGGAACUCGAUGACAGGUGCUGCAUGGUUGUCGUCGGCUCGUGUUGUGAAAUGUCGGGUUAAGUCCUUUAACGAGCGCAACCCUCAUUCUAUGUUAAAUGUUCGUAGAAAACUGCCCCGGUUAACGGGGAGGAAGGCGAGGAUGACGUCAAAUCAGCAUGGCUCUUACGCCCUGGGCUACACACGUGCUACAAUGGCCAGUACAGUGGGUCGCAAAACCGCAAGGUGAAGCUAAUCCUCAAAGCUGGCCCCAGUUCGGAUUGAGGUCUGAAAUUCGACCUCAUGAAGUCGGAAUCGCUAGUAACCGUGAAUCAGCCACGUCACGGUGAAUACGUUCUCGGGCUUUGUACACACCGCCCGUCACGUCAAGAAAGUCGGUAAUACC
RNAcentral lists this ribosomal RNA (1323 nucleotides) under uncultured bacterium. RNAcentral describes it as "bacterial SSU rRNA". It matches the Rfam family "Bacterial small subunit ribosomal RNA", at positions 64 to 1421 of the family's 1533-position model. The record is from RNAcentral.